GACGAACGCUGGCGGCGUGCUUAACACAUGCAAGUCGAACGGAAAGGCCCUGCUUUUGUGGGGUGCUCGAGUGGCGAACGGGUGAGUAACACGUGAGUAACCUGCCCUUGACUUUGGGAUAACUUCAGGAAACUGGGGCUAAUACCGGAUAGGAGCUCCUGCUGCAUGGUGGGGGUUGGAAAGUUUCGGCGGUUGGGGAUGGACUCGCGGCUUAUCAGCUUGUUGGUGGGGUAGUGGCUUACCAAGGCUUUGACGGGUAGCCGGCCUGAGAGGGUGACCGGCCACAUUGGGACUGAGAUACGGCACAGACUCCUACGGGAGGCAGCAGUGGGGAAUAUUGCACAAUGGGCGGAAGCCUGAUGCAGCAACGCAGCGUGCGGGAUGACGGCCUUCGGGUUGUAAACCGCUUUCGCCUGUGACGAAGCGUGAGUGACGGUAAUGGGUAAAGAAGCACCGGCUAACUACGUG
RNAcentral lists this ribosomal RNA (468 nucleotides) under uncultured bacterium. RNAcentral describes it as "partial 16S ribosomal RNA". It matches the Rfam family "Bacterial small subunit ribosomal RNA", at positions 28 to 507 of the family's 1533-position model. The record is from RNAcentral.